This 490-nucleotide ribosomal RNA is filed under the name uncultured bacterium. RNAcentral's name for it is "partial 16S ribosomal RNA". It matches the Rfam family "Bacterial small subunit ribosomal RNA", at positions 30 to 507 of the family's 1533-position model. The record is from RNAcentral.
AUUGAACGCUGGCGGCAUGCCUUACACAUGCAAGUCGAACGGCAGCAUGAUCUAGCUUGCUAGAUUGAUGGCGAGUGGCGAACGGGUGAGUAAUACAUCGGAACGUGCCCUGUAGUGGGGGAUAACUAGUCGAAAGAUUAGCUAAUACCGCAUACGACCUGAGGGUGAAAGUGGGGGACCGCAAGGCCUCAUGCUAUAGGAGUGGCCGAUGUCUGAUUAGCUAGUUGGUGGGGUAAAGGCCCACCAAGGCGACGAUCAGUAGCUGGUCUGAGAGGACGAUCAGCCACACUGGGACUGAGACACGGCCCAGACUCCUACGGGAGGCAGCAGUGGGGAAUUUUGGACAAUGGGGGCAACCCUGAUCCAGCAAUGCCGCGUGUGUGAAGAAGGCCUUCGGGUUGUAAAGCACUUUUGUCCGGAAAGAAAUCGCACUUACUAAUAUUAGGUGUGGAUGACGGUACCGGAAGAAUAAGGACCGGCUAACUACGUG